Ixodes scapularis (black-legged tick) is the source of this 73-nucleotide non-coding RNA. Lineage: Eukaryota; Metazoa; Arthropoda; Arachnida; Ixodida; Ixodidae. The record is from Rfam.
CCCUGGUUAGCUCAGUUGGUAGAGCGCGCCACCUGUAAUGGAGAGGUUCCGGGUUCGAUACCCGGACCAGGCG